This is a long non-coding RNA of Lemur catta (Ring-tailed lemur), 540 nucleotides long. RefSeq lists it as uncharacterized. The record is from RefSeq and is a predicted model, not a curated record. The transcript is spliced from 3 exons. NCBI's taxonomy places the organism in Eukaryota, Metazoa, Chordata, Mammalia, Primates, Lemuridae.
UUAAUAUCAGUUGUAAAGUUUAUAUUUACACUUAUUUCAUUCCAUAUGUUUUCCUCUUAAUUGUUCCCUCCCUCACGGUUUUUCUGAAAGACACAGGACAGUGAACCCAUCUGAGUUUGAAUUUCCAGAUCCUGGCUCCGAAGACGCUGGACUCGGAAUUUAACUGGUUCCCCAGCAAGGCCAGGAGGGAGUGCUCCCCACUGUAGGCCCCGCCCCAUGAGCACCAAGGGCUUCCGUGCCUGGGCGGGCUGGCAGGGGGUGGAGCGCCCGUCAUGCCCUGCGGCUUUGCACGGGGUGUUUCACCUGGCGUGAGAGGACGCAGUGCCGCCAUGUUAGCGUCGCCCCACAGGAGCUGCUUCUGUGCCGCCUGCCGGCCUGGCCUCAGACCACAGCGAGUGCGACCUCUUUGUCCUUACUCAGACGUGAGGCCCUGAGGAGAAUGUGCCAUCGCAGCGGAAAGUCCUCUGUGUCCUGCCUUCAGAGCCUCCAGCAUCAUUGCUGUAUGAGGUCUGCUACUUCACGGUCAGCGCAGGAAUUCCA